AUGAACGCUGGCGGCGUGCCUAAUACAUGCAAGUCGAGCGAACGGACGAGAAGCUUGCUUCUCUGAUGUUAGCGGCGGCCGGGUGAGUAACACGUGGAUAACCUACCUAUAAGACUGGGAUAACUUCGGGAAACCGGAGCUAAUACCGGAUAAUAUUUUGAACCGCAUGGUUCAAAAGUGAAAGACGGUCUUGCUGUCACUUAUAGAUGGAUCCGCGCUGCAUUAGCUAGUUGGUAAGGUAACGGCUUACCAAGGCAACGAUGCAUAGCCGACCUGAGAGGGUGAUCGGCCACACUGGAACUGAGACACGGUCCAGACUCCUACGGGAGGCAGCAGUAGGGAAUCUUCCGCAAUGGGCGAAAGCCUGACGGAGCAACGCCGCGUGAGUGAUGAAGGUCUUCGGAUCGUAAAACUCUGUUAUUAGGGAAGAACAUAUGUGUAAGUAACUGUGCACAUCUUGACGGUACCUAAUCAGAAAGCCACGGCUAACUUCGUG
This 496-nucleotide ribosomal RNA is filed under the name uncultured bacterium. RNAcentral describes it as "partial 16S ribosomal RNA". It matches the Rfam family "Bacterial small subunit ribosomal RNA", at positions 29 to 507 of the family's 1533-position model. The record is from RNAcentral.